Molecule: transfer RNA, 75 nt
Filed under: Nocardioides alkalitolerans
Lineage: Bacteria; Bacillati; Actinomycetota; Actinomycetes; Propionibacteriales; Nocardioidaceae
Also listed under: 1 other name
Description: tRNA-Gln
Rfam family: tRNA
About the family: Transfer RNA (tRNA) molecules are approximately 80 nucleotides in length. Their secondary structure includes four short double-helical elements and three loops (D, anti-codon, and T loops). Further hydrogen bonds mediate the characteristic L-shaped molecular structure. tRNAs have two regions of fundamental functional importance: the anti-codon, which is responsible for specific mRNA codon recognition, and the 3' end, to which the tRNAs corresponding amino acid is attached (by aminoacyl-tRNA synthetases). tRNAs cope with the degeneracy of the genetic code in two manners: having more than one tRNA (with a specific anti-codon) for a particular amino acid; and 'wobble' base-pairing, i.e. permitting non-standard base-pairing at the 3rd anti-codon position.
Source: RNAcentral
UCCCCGGUUGCUCUGCUGGCACGGGCGGGCGGACUUUGAAUCCGUCUUUCGUUGGUUCGAUUCCAACCCGGGGAG